UACGGAGGGGACUAGCGUUGUUCGGAAUUACUGGGCGUAAAGAGCGUGUAGGCGGCUGGGUAGGUCCGUUGUGAAAACUCGAGGCUCAACCUCGAGACGCCGAUGGAAACCCUCCAGCUAGAGUCCGGAAGAGGAGAGUGGAAUUCCUGGUGUAGCGGUGAAAUGCGCAGAUAUCAGGAAGAACACCUAUGGCGAAGGCAGCUCUCUGGGACGGUACUGACGCUGAGACGCGAAAGCGUGGGGAGCGAACAGG
RNAcentral lists this ribosomal RNA (253 nucleotides) under uncultured bacterium. RNAcentral describes it as "partial 16S ribosomal RNA". It matches the Rfam family "Bacterial small subunit ribosomal RNA", at positions 524 to 776 of the family's 1533-position model. The record is from RNAcentral.